CCUACGGGUGGCAGCAGUGGGGAAUAUUGCACAAUGGGCGGAAGCCUGAUGCAGCGACGCCGCGUGAGGGAUGACGGCCUUCGGGUUGUAAACCUCUUUCAGCAGGGACGAAGCGUAAGUGACGGUACCUGCAGAAGAAGCGCCGGCCAACUACGUGCCAGCAGCCGCGGUAAGACGUAGGGCGCGAGCGUUGUCCGGAUUUAUUGGGCGUAAAGAGCUCGUAGGCGGCUUGUCGCGUCGACUGUGAAAACCCGCAGCUCAACUGCGGGCCUGCAGUCGAUACGGGCAGGCUAGAGUUCGGUAGGGGAGACUGGAAUUCCUGGUGUAGCGGUGAAAUGCGCAGAUAUCAGGAGGAACACCGGUGGCGAAGGCGGGUCUCUGGGCCGAUACUGACGCUGAGGAGCGAAAGCGUGGGGAGCGAACAGGAUUAGAUACCCCUGUAGUCAGU
Molecule: ribosomal RNA, 448 nt
Filed under: uncultured Micromonosporaceae bacterium
Lineage: Bacteria; Bacillati; Actinomycetota; Actinomycetes; Micromonosporales; Micromonosporaceae
Description: bacterial SSU rRNA
Rfam family: Bacterial small subunit ribosomal RNA
Source: RNAcentral